RNAcentral lists this small RNA (132 nucleotides) under Klebsiella pneumoniae. Its description in RNAcentral is "RtT sRNA". It matches the Rfam family "RtT RNA". From Rfam's summary of the family: This family represents a bacterial cis-regulatory element known as RtT RNA. The record is from RNAcentral. Lineage: Bacteria; Pseudomonadati; Pseudomonadota; Gammaproteobacteria; Enterobacterales; Enterobacteriaceae.
UAUUCUGCCCCAUGGGGAAGGAUGAGAAGCUUCGACUAAGGUUCGACUCGAGCGAAGCGAGAAAACGUUGCCGCAGGCAACGGCCCGAAGGGCGAGGCGCUUUAGCGCCGAGUAAUCCUUCCCCCACCACCA